GUGCUUGCUGAGCGGCACAGAUAAUAAAACCUGGAACGAUGCAGAGAUUAGCACGUCUCCUGCUCAAAGAUGACACGCAGAGUCACGAAGCAUUAAAAAAAAAU
This is a small nuclear RNA of Peromyscus eremicus (cactus mouse), 104 nucleotides long. Lineage: Eukaryota; Metazoa; Chordata; Mammalia; Rodentia; Cricetidae. The record is from RefSeq and is a predicted model, not a curated record.